GCAAACUUGGUCAUUUAGAGGAAGUAAAAGUCGUAACAAGGUUUCCGUAGGUGAACCUGCGGAAGGAUCAUCACUGAUUCGCGGGGUCUGUGUUCCUGUGUGUGCUGCGUGUGUAUAGCGCGCGCACAUAGCGAGCCGCCCCAAACCAAUCUUGUGUGCACCGUUUCACUGGUCAAAGGAUGACGUGUGGUGGUUGUGUGUGUUGGUGGGAGUGCGUGCGUGCGCGUAUCACAGUAAUGUGUGCCCGCGCGCGCUGCCCUCACCGACUGCACGCGCCCCGUCAUUCUAAAUUUAUACAAUAAUCUCUUGGUGUUAACUUUGUCUAACGCGCAUUACUUAAAAUAACACAUACAACUUUUAACAAUGGAUCUCUUGGCUCUCGCAUCGAUGAAGAACGCAGC
RNAcentral lists this unclassified non-coding RNA (401 nucleotides) under uncultured fungus. RNAcentral's name for it is "partial contains small subunit ribosomal RNA, internal transcribed spacer 1, and 5.8S ribosomal RNA". The stretch from base 1 to 73 matches the Rfam family "Eukaryotic small subunit ribosomal RNA", at positions 1759 to 1831 of the family's 1831-position model. The record is from RNAcentral. Lineage: Eukaryota; Fungi.